Molecule: long non-coding RNA, 685 nt
Filed under: Danio rerio (zebrafish)
Lineage: Eukaryota; Metazoa; Chordata; Actinopteri; Cypriniformes; Danionidae
Description: si:ch73-4e5.1 (ENSDARG00000097891.3)
Source: RNAcentral
AGCAUUUUAUACCAGCACUUUGAGGAUGAAGAAGGGAGGGACAGAGGAGCAAAUAAAGGAGUGACACAGCAAAAGGAGGGGAAAAAAGAGGAAGUUGUAAAAUGACAACAAACAUCAAGGAGCCCCACUUGACCACCGGGGUGAGAGGAUGGAGACUGUGGGUCACAGAAAGCCAGAGCAGGGGCAGCGUGCCAGAGGCUGGAGAUGGUAGCAGGAAUGCUAAUGGAGCCAUAACCACCACUAAUACCUUUAACAGCAUCCUGGCAGAGCUCCUCAAGCCAGGCCUCUUAAUCUCAGUUCUGGAAGCUGGCUUAUUUCCUUGACCCACCACCCUUCCUCUUUGUCGUCACUUGAGUAGCUGAUGUGCGACGCCAACAACAGUGGAUUACAGUGGACUAACAGAUUUUAUGAUUUCCUGAAUAAAUCUGUAAAAGUCUCUUAUUUGGUCAUGAGGAGAAAAAGUGACCAAUUUCAGGUCCAUUUGGACAUGGAGUGACACGUAAAUUCUGUAUAGACAUUCUGUACGUUCCCCCGAGCGUGGAGUGUAUGUGAGUAUGUCAAAUGUGCAUUAAUACAUGUGUGUGUGUUAUUUUUUUGAAGUCUGUUCUGUUAAAGCGUUGCAUAUGUAGACCAAUAAAACUUUUGUGUAGGGUUUAAUUUUUGUUGAUUUUACAAUUUUAAUGUU